Molecule: non-coding RNA, 21 nt
Filed under: Caenorhabditis elegans
Lineage: Eukaryota; Metazoa; Nematoda; Chromadorea; Rhabditida; Rhabditidae
Source: RNAcentral
UGCCAAGAAAACAUAUUUUCG